GAGGCAUCAUAAUCAUGUUCAUUAAAUUCUUUCCUUGUCAGACUGUUACUGAUCUCAAAACCAGUGAAAAUUGCAAGUAGCUUUUAGUUUCUAGUAGUACUAUUUUGAUAAGAUGUGUAAUUUUUCGUCAUUUCUUUUGAUGUUCUGUCAUAAUCAGUCAGACUAUUUCACCAAGAUGUUUUCAAAUUCUCCUAGUACUUCAAAGUGCUCUUUUUUCAAUAAUAAUCUGAAAUACACAAAAUCAACAGGUUAGUAACUUCAUAAUGUACAAACUUUAACAUGUCAGAUUAAUAUGAUUAAGAAAAUGAUGUGCAGCGCAGCCUUGUUAUUUGACUGACCAGUUGGUGCAUGUUUGGACACAAUAUUCAAGCUUGAUAGACUGUCUGUAUUUGGAUUUUGUUGAAAAUUUUGAGGAGAAAAAAAUCCCCCUCCCCCAAUUUUUUUCAACCCCCUUUCAGUAAUUACCCCAAAACUUAAUCCCAUCCUUUUCCUUUGUGGUAUGGUACUUUGCAGUACAAUUUUAAAGAAAUCCAUACACUUAAACACAAAAUAUUGUCUGGAAAUUAGAAAAAUGCUUGUUUUUGACCCCCUAUUUCCUGAACGUUUGAGGCAAUUACCCCUUUAAACAAUUCCAGUCUACCCUUUGUGAUAUGGAACCUUGAAGAACAAUUUCAGAGAGAUUAGUACACUGGCACACAAGUUAAUGUCUGGAAACUACAAAAAUGCUUCUUUUUUGCCCCUAAUUUCUAAACUGUUGGUACCAUCACCCCAAAAAUCAACCCAACCUUCCUUUUUGGUAUUAAACCUUGUGUAAAAUUUCAUGGAUAUCCAUUCGCUUAAACUAUAUAAUUAUCCGGAAACCAUAUGUGUCGACAUACAUCGCUAACAACAACAUCAUACCAUAAUAUGACUCAAUUUUAUUCUUCGAAC
Molecule: long non-coding RNA, 930 nt
Filed under: Mytilus galloprovincialis (Mediterranean mussel)
Lineage: Eukaryota; Metazoa; Mollusca; Bivalvia; Mytilida; Mytilidae
Source: RNAcentral